This 253-nucleotide ribosomal RNA is filed under the name uncultured bacterium. Its description in RNAcentral is "partial 16S ribosomal RNA". It matches the Rfam family "Bacterial small subunit ribosomal RNA", at positions 524 to 776 of the family's 1533-position model. The record is from RNAcentral.
UACGUAGGGUGCGAGCGUUAAUCGGAAUUACUGGGCGUAAAGCGUGCGCAGGCGGUGAUGUAAGACAGGUGUGAAAUCCCCGGGCUUAACCUGGGAACUGCAUUUGUGACUGCAUAGCUAGAGUACGGUAGAGGGGGAUGGAAUUCCGCGUGUAGCAGUGAAAUGCGUAGAUAUGCGGAGGAACACCGAUGGCGAAGGCAAUCCCCUGGACCUGUACUGACGCUCAUGCACGAAAGCGUGGGGAGCAAACAGG